AGGUAGUGGUGUAUUAAACCUCUUUUAUGAACCCGACUUUAUUUUCUUAUUUCCUGCCAGUGGUUAUCCUUCUUUCUUCUCCUAGCCCUCUCUGAAUUGGCCUCGUGUCUCGACAAAUCAAUAACUUGUGUGAUUUCACAUUGUGGUGAAUGUUAGGCAUAUUUGUAGUCGUCCAUGCGAAAAGGUUAUGGUUCCAGGUCAAUAGGUCUAUCAGGCUUAACGCAUCUUCCUUUCCCAACUCACUUCCCCAAAAGUUGUAGCAAUUAUCCUACUUUAGUCUUGCC
RNAcentral lists this long non-coding RNA (284 nucleotides) under Vigna radiata. Its description in RNAcentral is "long non-coding RNA (VRAD_LNC015714)". The record is from RNAcentral. Lineage: Eukaryota; Viridiplantae; Streptophyta; Magnoliopsida; Fabales; Fabaceae.